Long non-coding RNA from Oxyura jamaicensis (ruddy duck), 190 nucleotides. RefSeq lists it as uncharacterized. The transcript is spliced from 3 exons. The record is from RefSeq and is a predicted model, not a curated record. NCBI's taxonomy places the organism in Eukaryota, Metazoa, Chordata, Aves, Anseriformes, Anatidae.
UAACACUGGUGUGGCCUCACCUAGAAUAUGAUGUGCAGUUCUGGGCUCCACAAUGUAAAAAGGAUGUUAAGGUACUUGAAAGUGUCCAGAGGAGGGCAACAAAACUGGUAAAAGGGCAGGAAGGCAUGUCCUAUGAAGAGAGGAUGAGAACACUGGGAUUGUUCAGUCUGGAGAAGCGGAGGCUCAGGGG